UUCAUCUCUCCUCUCCUCAGGGUCAGUCUUCCCCACCUGUCCACUCCCCCCAAGACCUUUCCUGUAUUAUUGUCAUGUGUGUCUCUAAUGUAGUAUCUUGUUUGUGGAGUUUUGUUAUUUGGUUACACAGUCAUUGCUAAAAGAUUUGUCGUAAGAUUUAAAUUUGUGUUUUGUUUUUCAAAAGAUUGUAAAGGAAAUUUAUUGUGUUUCCAAAAUAUUGUCAAUAUUAAAAUAUGAAAACUCUCUAUGUUUAUUUAGUGGUUCAGUGGUAGCUAUCAACACGGCAGAAUCCAAAAUCAACUUGGAGGCAAGUCCUUCGGACAUCUGUGAGGGGUCAUCUUGUUGUUUGAAGAACCAUCUUAAUGGUAGCUAAGAACAUCCCCUGGGUGGAAAAUCCUGUAUUGUAUAAAAUGAUGAAGGCAGGAGAAAUGACUUCAGUUCAACAUGAAAUUAAUCCCCUAGACCAUAUAAGAGUGCAAAGGUGACCUGACCAUCUGAGCCUUCAGGAAGACAUGCUUCAUGGAUCUCAAUUUGGAUUUCUGAACAGAAAAACAGGUAUCAUCAAUUACUGGUACUUGUAAUGCACAGCAUUGCCAUGAAGAAAACGGAAUUAGCACAGAGCAUGCAGAGUACCUUCCAACUCCAUGAACAUUACAUGUGAAGCUUCAAGUUUGGUAUCUGCACAAUUUCUCCAUGAUUGAUGACAGAACAUCCUGAGAAGAUCACACUGGAGACCACUACUCUGAUCUAAGAUAUAAACUGCCAGUACUUUCCUGAUGAGGAGUAGGACUCUGUGUUUAUACCCUUAACCAAUGCUGUAAGUGUAAGUAGUGUGAAAUAUUGGAAGUUUUGUCUGUUCCUACUGCUUUAGAAGCUUUCGUA
Rattus rattus (black rat) is the source of this 882-nucleotide long non-coding RNA. RefSeq lists it as uncharacterized. The transcript has 6 exons. The record is from RefSeq and is a predicted model, not a curated record. Lineage: Eukaryota; Metazoa; Chordata; Mammalia; Rodentia; Muridae.